RNAcentral lists this ribosomal RNA (997 nucleotides) under uncultured bacterium. RNAcentral's name for it is "bacterial SSU rRNA". It matches the Rfam family "Bacterial small subunit ribosomal RNA", at positions 356 to 1376 of the family's 1533-position model. The record is from RNAcentral.
GGGGAAUAUUGCACAAUGGGGGAAACCCUGAUGCAGCGACGCCGCGUGGAGGAAGAAGGUCUUCGGAUUGUAAACUCCUGUUGUUGGGGAAGAUAAUGACGGUACCCAACAAGGAAGUGACGGCUAACUACGUGCCAGCAGCCGCGGUAAAACGUAGGUCACAAGCGUUGUCCGGAAUUACUGGGUGUAAAGGGAGCGCAGGCGGGAUGCCAAGUCAGCUGUGAAAACUAUGGGCUUAACUUGUAGACUGCAGUUGAAACUGGUAUUCUUGAGUGAAGUAGAGGUUGGCGGAAUUCCGAGUGUAGCGGUGAAAUGCGUAGAUAUUCGGAGGAACACCGGUGGCGAAGGCGGCCAACUGGGCUUUAACUGACGCUGAGGCUCGAAAGUGUGGGGAGCAAACAGGAUUAGAUACCCUGGUAGUCCAUGCCGUAAACGAUGAUUACUAGGUGUGGGGGGACUGACCCCUUCCGUGCCGCAGCAAACGCAAUAAGUAAUCCACCUGGGGAGUACGACCGCAAGGUUGAAACUCAAAGGAAUUGACGGGGGCCCGCACAAGCAGUGGAGUAUGUGGAUUAAUUCGAAGCAACGCGAAGAACCUUACCAGGUCUUGACAUCGUAUGCAUAGCUCAGAGAUGAGUGAAAUCUCUUCGGAGACAUAUAGACAGGUGGUGCAUGGUUGUCGUCAGCUCGUGUCGUGAGAUGUUGGGUUAAGUCCCGCAACGAGCGCAACCCCUGCCAUUAGUUGCUACGCAAGAGCACUCUAAUGGGACCGCUACCGACAAGGUGGAGGAAGGUGGGGACGACGUCAAAUCAUCAUGCCCCUUAUGACCUGGGCUACACACGUAAUACAAUGGCCGUUAACAACGAGGAGCAAACCCGCGAGGGGGAGCAAAACUUCAAAAACGGUCUCAGUUCGGAUUGCAGGCUGCAACUCGCCUGCAUGAAGUUGGAAUUGCUAGUAAUCGUGGAUCAGCAUGCCACGGUGAAUACGUUCCCG